GACGAACGCUGGCGGCGUGCUUAACACAUGCAAGUCGAACGGAAAGGCCCUGCUUUUGUGGGGUGCUCGAGUGGCGAACGGGUGAGUAACCCGUGAGUAACCUGCCCUUGACUUUGGGAUAACUUCAGGAAACUGGGGCUAAUACCGGAUAGGGGCUCCUGCUGCAUGGUGGGGGUUGGAAAGUUUCGGCGGUUGGGGAUGGACUCGCGGCUUAUCAGCUUGUUGGUGGGGUAGUGGCUUACCAAGGCUUUGACGGGUAGCCGGCCUGAGAGGGUGACCGGCCACAUUGGGACUGAGAUACGGCCCAGACUCCUACGGGAGGCAGCAGUGGGGAAUAUUGCACAAUGGGCGGAAGCCUGAUGCAGCAACGCCGCGUGCGGGAUGACGGCCUUCGGGUUGUAAACCGCUUUCGCCUGUGACGAAGCGUGAGUGACGGUAAUGGGUAAAGAAGCACCGGCUAACUACGUG
Molecule: ribosomal RNA, 468 nt
Filed under: uncultured bacterium
Lineage: Bacteria
Description: partial 16S ribosomal RNA
Rfam family: Bacterial small subunit ribosomal RNA
Source: RNAcentral